CCUACGGGAGGCAGCAGUGAGGAAUAUUGGUCAAUGGGCGCGAGCCUGAACCAGCCAAGUAGCGUGAAGGAUGACUGCCCUACGGGUUGUAAACUUCUUUUAUAAAGGAAUAAAGUGAGGCACGUGUGCCUUUUUGUAUGUACUUUAUGAAUAGGGAUGGGCAAACCCGUGCCCGCAGCCGGGGUUAUAAGGAGGAUUCGAGGGUUUUCCGGGUUUUAUGGGGUUAAAGGGAGCGUAGAUGGGUUGUUAAGUCCGUUGUGAAAGUUUGCGGGUCAACCGUAAAAUUGCAAUUGAUACUGGCAGUCUUGAGUACAGUUGAGGUAGGCGGAAUUCGUGGUGUAGCGGUGAAAUGCUUAGAUAUCACGAAGAACUCCGAUUGCGAAGGCAGCUUACUAAGCUGCCACUGACAUUGAUGCUCGAAAGUGUGGGUAUCAAACAGGAUUAGAUACCCCUGUAGUC
Molecule: ribosomal RNA, 459 nt
Filed under: uncultured bacterium
Lineage: Bacteria
Description: partial 16S ribosomal RNA
Rfam family: Bacterial small subunit ribosomal RNA
Source: RNAcentral